AUACUCUUCUGUUUAAAAAUCAGUCUUUAACAGAUUUCUUGCUAGGCCUGUGGAUUUCUUCCACGUUAUCUUUCACAAUUUUUAUUCCACAUUACAUGUUUUUUCCUGUUCCAAGGCCUGUGCUCCAUUCUCAUUCCUUUCAGUCCAACAUGACUUUUACUUCCCUGGGACACGGGUAGGGGGAAGGAGCACACUGCAAUACAUGCGGAAUGUUUGUGUGGGAGUGAGCUGUGUGGGAGUGCUUCCUGCAGCACUUUACAGACACACAGAAGGACAAGUUUAAAACCAGUUGCUGGUGUUUACAGACGUGCAGUCAUCAUGGGGCCUAGUCUGGAAAGGCUGAUGGUCUGAGGAGGCAACAAUGUGCAUUCCAGGCAGCGUGCACUGCAGCAGCACACCCCUCUUUGGAAUGUUAUUCCCUCAAGACUCCCAUGGCACAGAGAGAUGGCGACAAAGCAGCAUCAAGCAAUUGCCUCCUGGCUAGAAUUCUCGGCAAACCCUCAUGACUAUUGACUCAAAUGAGCAGCCCAGCAACAGGGGAACAGACACCAUUUGAUUCACAGAUUAUCACAUGGAUCCCAAGAACAGCAUGACUAUGCUGACCAUGAGGAGUCUGCAGCUUCCAGUUUUGACCACCAGCCUGCAGUAUCAAUAACAAGCACAAAGGAACUGAUGUGAUGUGCAGCCAGGUGACUUUGUGCACUACCCAACAGCCUGGACCACAGAAGCACUCAGAGACGGGUCAAGAACAACGCUCACUUUUCUGAAUGGCUUUCCUCUCCAAGUGUGGAUGUCAGACCAUUUAUCAUGGGUCACGACAUCCAGUCAUAGAGAACUCCUUGCAGCAGCAGAAGAGGAUAAGAAAAACCCUCAGUUACCCAGAUGAUUUCUUCCUGUAAGUUGAAACUCUGCUCAUGGCAUGCACUGAGAGACUGUCCAUCCCUACCUCUGUGGAUAGAAAGGAAAUUGGUUCCUUUGUUGUGGGAAAUGUUCUGUAGUUUUCUUCUCAAUUUCAGUCAGUGGUGAGAAUCAUUCCCCACUUCAUGAAAUGUUAUUGGCAUGUAGAGAAAAAUACAACCUCUAUGCAGCCCUUUUCCUUUGGGGUUUCCUCACCCUACCUGAAUGUUUUUCAAGCUGUUGUGCUACCUGUGGUCUUCAGGUGAAACCUUCUUCCUCUUAAUAAUGUAUAUUGCCACUUUUCCUAGUCUGAUUUUGUGCCAAAUGAUUUUAGCUUGAGAGCUAAAUACCCAUUGUUUUUGGUGAGCACCGAGUGGAAUAAGAUGAGUCUGAAGGUUUUUUUUUUAGAAACACUCAGGAAACAACUGCUGCCAUAAUCACAAGGGAAUAGUGAUCCCUCUUGAUAAAUUCAAUUUGUUCAUAACCUUUUGACACAGACCAUAAAUAACCUUUAUAUAUCUCACACACACACAAGGGCAUAUACAGUAUGUGACAUAAACAAUGUAUAUAAAUAUUUACAAAAAUAGAAAAUAAAUGUAAAGUGCCAUAAAAACUACCCAUUUAUUAGCAAGUGGUUAACUGCUUGUUCCAGUUGAUACCUGGGGUGCCUGCCAACUCUGUUUGCUGUGCCACUGUACUGGCUGAGGUACAAAACCAUAGCAAAGGAAGUACCAACCCACGGGCAAUGAGGCUGUUUCUGCAGAGGUUGCCCCAGAGAUGAAGGGAAGCUGAGGUUGGGUUCUGGCUCCUUUAAGGGCUAGCAAGAUUAUCUGCUCUGACAAAAAAUCAAAACGAUAGAGAGAAAAAAACCAAAAACCGUAGAAACUACUUUUAAUUCUGAAAACUAUUCUCUGUGAUAUUAUUUAUUAUUUUAUUUAGACUCACUUGAUAAUAAUAUUAAAAAAAAACAAAAGUAUGUGUAAGAAUUCAAAGUGGUAAAUCAGAAAAUGUUAUGGAGGGAAGAAUUAUUCCUAAUUCAGCUUUAUUCCUAAAAAAGACAUAUUACCUCUGUAUUAAAAAACACAAAAUGGGCUUGGCUUCCUAACUUCUUUCUAUGUUCCUUUUUGUGCUUUAAAACCUAUAGGAAGGUGUCCCAUCUGAUAAACUAAAUGCUUUAUGUUUUCAGUAAUAUCAUGAAAAAUGCUGAUCAUUUUUGGGUAAAAAAUUAACAGAAUGUGCUAUAUGUUAGAAAGUACUGAAAUUUAUUACUUAUUUCAGUAGUAGCAAAACUUCUUGCAGAAGAUCCAAGAUAAAAAGGAUUCAAUUCACAGCCUAUAUCAUUCUGAUUUUUGUUCAAAAUUAAAAGAAGCAAUUAAAUUUAGACCUCUCAAGUAUAAUUAUGAUGAUGUACAUUUUUCAAAGAAAAAAAAGAACUGUUAAGAACAGGAGUCAGAGACCUAUUCCUAAUGGUAGAAAACGUCCCUUUUAACUUUUUUUCAUCUUUGUUGAGCAAGGCUGUAUGGAGCUUGAAUGUGCACAGUCAGAAAAGGAAAUGUUGGCCAAAGCAGCUCUUAGCCUUUUGCACACCUUUGGUUUCGGUGAUGGGGCUCAGAGCCCUGGAAAGUGUAAGAGCACAACAGGCAGGGAGCAGGCAGCCUCCUCAUUCACAGACACAUGGUAAGGAUGCAUGAUGGAUAAAGGGAUGUUGCAGAUUACACCUUGAGUGCAGCACUUGGGAAAACCAACAUGUUUCUGCUUUCCUCAGAGCAGUGUGCUUAGUCUUUCUUACCAACAUGGGCAGCAUAACAACUAGAAUACAUUAUCUAUGACAAAUAAUAACAAGCUGUCAUUAUCAGUAUUAUAUAUUCAGAAUAUUCUGAAUAGAGAGCAGCUCCUCACAAAUAUAUCUUUCUAAGAGAAUGACCGUAACUGCUCAUCCAUGUUAAUUAAACAGGACCUCAUCUCCUUGUAAUGCGGCUCUGCCAGGUGCAGAUGCUGUUGUGAGUUUGGUGUUACCCACAGUAAGUCAGGGCUCAGGGCUGAGUGAUGGAAACCAGGGGAGACCUGAUCUGCAUGUGAUGCUGCAAGGCUGCAGAACCACUGAGGCUGAGAAGGAAAGCUCUUUAGGACUAUUAAUCAAAAUGCAGUUUCGUUUAAGGGUGGCAUUUUGCUAAUGCCUACUUAAUUGAGAAGUAUGUUCUUCAGUAGCGAUGAACCCUUUCACAGUACCAAUUAGUUCACAUUAUGCCAUGACAAGUGGAGGAAAUGGUGACAGCACAAGGAUUCAAUUUCCUAAAUAAUAAAAUACAAGCUAUACGAAUGUAAGUAGAAACAAAUUUACAAUACAUUUGAAGCUAUUACAUGGCUUUACAACACAUUUAAAUGCCUUUACUUAAUUUGGGCCACCUUCCCUCUAAACUUUCUGCUUUUAAACCAAAUGAGGGAUGUUCAUUUAGACUAUGCUGGUCAUUACUCCCAUGUCUUCAUGUUUUCGCCGCAGCAGUUGGAAACAGUCCUGCUUCAGCUUUAUUUAUUUAAGUUUCAUUUUAGGAAAGUAUAAAGUUAAGGAGAGACCUCAAGAACUUGGAGAAACUUCAGAGUUGAAACUCUGCCAGGCAACAUAGAUUAGAGUGUACACUCUGACAGGCCAGGAGCAGCUAGGAAUGAAAGAUCAAAGAAGCCAUGAGAAGCAAAAAUAGCCAGAGAUCUCUAGAACAGAUAUCAUAUAUUAAAUUAAUUACAAGAGCAAGAGUUACAUGUCUAGACAGUACCAUCUACUAAAGAGAGGGGACAGCCAAAUCGUGUGCUUCCUUUCAAAUCUUCCUUCCUUUCCUUCUUUCUCUACUUCUUUAAUGCCCAUGCCCAAGGAGAGCUGUUUAUUUUACCACACAUUUCACUGGAACUUUAUCUAGUUAAUGGGGGUUCCACAAAUUAAUCUGGGAUGCUGCAGCAUAAUUCAGCAGAUUAUACUUUGAAAUAAAAUUUCCAGGCAUUACACUUCACUUUCCUGUUCAGAUUUUCAUCCCAUUAUCUCAGUUGACAAUCUUACAGUGUUUAUCAUUAAAGAUUCAAAAUUACCACCAGUUAACACACCACAGUGUCUGAAAUACUGAGCCCAUUUUCUGUGAUAAGAUAAACACAUCAGAAUAAAUACUUCAGUGACAAACUCAAUAAUUUUCCCCCAUAAUUAAGGUUUAAAGCCCUCAAAUGUUUGUAGAUUUUUAUCAUAUUUUCACAUGGUCAACACUUACCAAAACUCAGAACUUAACCUUUUUCUAUUGAAUCAUCUCCUCCAGUCUUUUAAUGUAUUUUUGUUUCUAUUUCAAGGUCAAUUUUAAAAGGAAAUAAAAAUGUGGCCUUAGCAGGCUGAUGUAAGGCACAAAAAUGAUGGAACAAUUUGAGGGAUUCAGUUUUAGUGAAUUACCAGGACUGAAUGAUUUCCCUCCAGAAUUCUGAAACUAGAAAAUUAUUACGUACAGUAUGUGUAGAUGAGAACAAACACUGUCUUUUUAAGAUAGUAACAGGAAUAAUAAUAUAUAACAUCCCCCCUGCAAAAUCACUCUUCUCAGAGAUUGAAAGGCAUGAAUAUGGCACCUUCUUCAGGGUUUUGGAUUUCUUUUGAGAAAGGGUGUGAAAUUUGUGAUUCAUUUUAGUGCUGAGAAAGCUAAUGAAUUCUUCUAAAGAAGAUAAUGUUGCAGUACUUGGAGGACAAUGGCCUGAAAGGAUCAAAACUGUGAAGCUUCUGCAAACGGAAAGUGAGUUAGGGCAUAGCAGGUGACAGUGAGCAGGGAAAGAAAUACCCUGGACUUGGAGAAAUCACAUGACAAAGGCAAUGUGAGGAGAGCAUGUAAGGCAAUACUUUUCUGUGUAGAAAGGAAUUCUUACUGAUUAAACUAAUUAUUUUAUUCUUUGGAGUCCAUCGAUCCUGUCCACCAGCUAGGAAGGACAAUUGAAAUUCUACUGGGUUAGGAUGGAUAGCCUCCAUUGUGUUUCUCUGGACAUGCCCACACAGCUGACCAGGAAGAAGGUAAGAGUUAGACAUUGUCAACAAGUCAUUUUGACAGGCUGCAGAACUGAUUUGACCUAUGGAAAGUUGCUGGGAGAACUGAGGUUGUCAUCAUCAGCUCCCGUACAAUCCCACAGAACACAGAACACAAACGUCUGACUGUAACAAGAGAGGCCAUGUCUGCUCCUGCACCUGGGCUUGACUUUCUGGAUACGUCCUAGGGGGCCAGACUCCCAAGACAUCAAGGUCAGUAGUGCUGGGGGAGAUCUGUGCAGAAUCUGCUUGUGGAGAAGUUAGAUAGCUUGCAUUUAGGGAAUCUCAUGUUUAAAAGGAUAGCAACAACUGAACUCAACAAGAUAUAAAAUGAGGGUGUUUCUUUUUUCUUAUUUUUUCUUUUUCUCUAAGUCUGUAAACAACACAGGCAUUUGCAUAAUUCCAUCCUACAAAACCACAUCCUCUUGGCUAUAGGAGCACACCCUGUUUUACACACAUCAGUUUGGGAAGGACAUUCUGGACACAGAUCUUACCUAACGUGCCAGACUAUGAACCAAGAGGACCUUGGUCUGAGCCUGGCCAGUGUCAGGGGAAAGGCUUCCUCUCACCUUGGAUUCAUCCUAAGUCUCUAAAAGGAGUUAUUUAAGUGGAGGUAGGCGAAACAACAAAGGGCAUCUGCUUUCCCUUGUGUGUGUAGAUCCACAGAGAGAAAAAAGAAGGGCACAUGGCUGUACAGAAAUAUAUUCCCCUAUCUGACUUGAAAUCAAACCGUGGAAUCCACUGCUAUUCAGUCAAAUAUUCUGAGAGAAUUUUUAAAACGGGUUGGAUUAGUUCAUUGUUAUUUGUUUCAGCUACUCUCAAAUAAACAGAUAAAUAUGUGACUGUUUAAGCAGGAUGCUGUUUUCCAGCUUCAAAAUUAUACAACUGAGAGCAAAGUUUGGCUAUCUAAAAGUAAUCAAACCCAAUGCUUGAUGCUGUACAGCAACCUUUUUGCCUGAAGAGGUCAGGAAGGAAAUAUUUUCCCACAUUAAUAGGUAACCUCAGUUUCAUUUUUCAGCAGUUGUUAUGUUCUUAAGUACUUGCUCGUUACCACUCGAGACACAAUACGCCACUGCCCAGUUCUCUGUGCCAGAGGUUUUACGAGUUAGGAGAAAUGUUUCAUACUCAAGAGUAGAGGACUGUUGUCUCCUUCCAUUCAUAAGGUAUACUUUUGUCAUAAGGUAUCUGUUUGGUCUCCAGCUUUUGCCCCACUUAUCCUUUCAUUCAUCCAAGUGUAAUUGUUAAGGUAGGCCCUAUGUCUGGGCUUUACUUAUCAAAAGCCAGGUGAACAAAGAAGCAAAGCAUGGCAUUGUUAACAGUGGCUCUCCGGUGUGUGAAGGUACAAAACUCCAUGAGUACACCUCUGCUUAAUGAGAAAGCACAGGUGUUCUGACAAGCAAGAACAAAUAAUAAUUAAAAAAAAAAAGCUGCUAUCCUGUCAAAUACUGUUUGCAUAUCAAGGAUCUGGAAUACAAAGCAGACUUAACAGCAAUCACAUUUUGAGUAGAAUUCACUUGAAUGUAACACCUUCUCCCUCUAAGGUUUUGAAUGUGGUAUCUUAAAGAAGAUCACACAAAUUACUCAUUCCAGGAACAAAGGCUCUUUUUGAAAGCUGUCAGCUUGCUGACAGUUAUGAUGAGCAUUUACUUCAGGCUUGUAAAACAUAUUAAUCAAACUUGUUCCUAUAGCUUCAGUCCAAGGAGGGUUACUGAUUCUUUUAGAGAAAUGUUUUACAUAAGUGAAGAGCUCUGAGUAUGUAUACACCUUGAAUGCAAACCACUGUCUAUGCCAUUCAUUUAUUCAUAAUGAAUAAAUACUAGUCUAUAUCAGGAUUAAGGAGAAUUGAAGCAGUGUAUGGAAAUCUGUUUAUUACAAGACUAUUUGCCAAAGACCUGUGCACCGUUCAUUGAACCCUGAAAAACAUCUGAAAAUAUGGAUUGCAUUUGCAAACUUCAGUGUAUGACAUGGAGAGCUGGCAAACUGCCUGGUUUCUACUUAAAGGAUUGUCAUUCUGGGAAAAAUAAAUUUCUCUAACUAGACAAAAGUCAAUGUUUUCAUGUUUUACUGCAAUCAAACUGAUACGGCUGACAAUUUAAUGUCUCAACACUUAAAAUAUCUGUGGAUAAUCAGUUACCUCAAUCAAUCAUAUCUACAAGAUUUCUCUAUUUUCAAAGCCUGUAUACAUAUGACAGAGAUAUCUAACAGUUUAGAGAAACCUUCCCGUCCUUAAUGCUUCAUGAUUUCUCUUCAACUAUGCAGGUUUUUUUUUCUCCAUAUGCAAGACUUCAUAAUUGCUGGAAAAAAAUAAAUAAAUCCAACCCUGCACUGUAAUCAGAUUUUGAAACCUUUGUGUUAAUGUCCUGUUUUAUUUAAUUUUAUGUAUAUUUUAUAGUCUGCUUGCCUGUCAGAAAGAUGUGGAAAUGUGCUGGCAUUCCAGCUCAAGACAUCAUUAUGAGUGAGAAAAUGCUCAAGGCUUUUUCAAAGUGGGUGCUGAAACAUACGUUUCUCUUCUUUGACUCCAGGGGAUGCUAACAGCUGCCCCAGCAGACAGGUACUGCGAGGUCAAAGGCUAGCAGUGCUGUGCACCUCCAGGUUUUGACUGCCAGCAAGGUAGAUGGGUGGUUUCUCAAAACUAAUAAUAAAAAUAGCAGCAGUGAUGAGAAGAAGGAACUGACAACAAAAAUGAAAAGAAACCUGCAGGAAGUGAAUUCUGGGUAGCACAACGCUUGGCAGAGCUGAUUUUAAUAUCUGACAGGUUGAGUUCACUAAUCUUUGCUAUUCGUAUUGACGUGAAACUUCAUACAGUUUUAGAGAUUUAUAUCUAUUAAGACAUGCAGCAGUGUUCCUACAACAUGGGAACAAGUUUGCUAGUGCCUACUGUUCUUCUUCUUCCCUGAUAAAAAUUGAUAUGAACUGUUUUAAAUGCCUAACAGAUAAUUACUCUGAACACUCAAUAAAGAAAGUUACAUCUUUAGGGCUUCCUUUAUCUUUAAAAAAUAAUAAAAAAACCAAGCCCCAGACCCAUCAACAAGACAAAACAACGUUCUUCCCUCCGUCUUCCCCCCUUUCUUUUGUUUCUUUGAUUACUUGGAGCCUUGUAAUCAAACUAAGCUUAGUUUCAGGACCCUUGGGGCAGUAUCUCUUAGUUCCCUGUCAGACUGCGUUGCAAAACAAUCAAUCUUGCUCUUGCACUCACUUGGCGGAAGUGCCGCGACACGAAGAGCGCAGUGCUUUGCUCUUGCUGUGAAGCUUCGAUGACAAAAGUUUUUAUCAGAAGCUGACUGUAUUUAGGGUUAUGAAUAUGCAAUGACUCUCAUUAGUAUUGAAGCGCAGGAGCACAGGCUGACAUCCCCCGCCACUUUUAGCUGCUGCAGAAUCGUCUAAUGAAUUGUCUUGCUCUUUCACUUGCACAGGCACUGCUGUUAUGGCUCCCUGUUCCAAGGGGAGUUGCCCAGUUUGAGAAUACUGUUGACUGCAGAAAUUAAUUGCCAGGAACUGCUCUUGAUUUUGUUAAACAAUGUUGAGACAGUGUUUAAAUCGCCAAAACAGAAAACCAUUAAGCUUUGCACAAGACAGAGCCAUCAUGAGUGAAGGAACAUGCAUGUCCUUGUGCCAGGCAUGCCAUGGGUUUGCGUGCAGUCUUGCGGUCACACCUGCGUGCAUGAAGAUGUCUGCGUGCUAGUGGAGGGACUCAGAGAUGUGGCUUCACAUUGAUCUAUUUAUUGUUCUCCCAGAUAGAACAAAUGAGGAUAAGGUGCCGUCCUCCAAAUGAGCAGUAUUCCAAUACAUUGCUGUUUGAUCAACCUGUUAAUACUCUUUCUUUUUCCUCUGGGACCCUGCCAAACAUUUUUCAGCUCACACAUCUGCAAUCUUUUUACGAAUAAAGCACUGAUAAGAAUGUUGCCAACAAAUGAUUAAGAUAUCUGGCUUGAUUUGUAGUAUUUGAGGAGACGUGAAAGCUUUUGGAAACAAGUGGAAAUGCCCCCUUUUCCCAAUUGGUUAAAUUAAGUUUUUUUUUUUCCUAUUCAUCUGAAAUUUCUCCUGACAUAAAAGGAGCUUUUGUGGCUCUCUGCAGAUUGUGAAGGAUGGAGUGAAUUGAAACAGAUAAUAUAUUCCAAAAAGCAUAAGUAGCAUUCUGAAAGGUGUGCGCAUACUGCAAAUAAUGAAGGAUAUGAGGUUCUCCCAAGAAGAUGUCAGCCGUGUGCAGCUCUUUAUCCAUUCAAUCAGUAAUGGAAAUAGUCCCAGUGCAAGCAGGAGGAUCUGUUUAAUUUUUACUGCGAUUUUUGGCACUGCUGCUCUAAAGUGAGCUUGGUUUACCUCUUGACCCAACCCCAGGAGUGCCUGUUCUCGUCAGCUGGAGAAAAAAUAAACAUAAAAAAAAACAUCUACAUAUUGGGAGUAUCGAAUACAAGAGCAGUUUAAAAUAAAUGCAGUUCUGACAAAAGUGGCUCAAGUAUCAUACAUCAAACACUUGUUACCUCUCUUGGCCUUAGUGAUUGCACGUGACUAAGAAAGAGUGAGUGAUAAAAUCCGAAGAAAGAUGAAACCAAUCUGGGCCUUUUUAAAGAUCAUCAAUCAUUCUGCGCAGCCAUGAUAUUAUUAGUUCCAGUAAGCCUUGUUCUCCCAUUUUAUGGACAUCAUAAACCCCCCACCCCUCCACCAAUGCUACCAUGGGAAAUCAUUUUUAUGGGCAGCAUCUUAGCAUGGGCCAAUCAGAUCUAAUCACAUAACAAGCUACUGAAUUAUUCAACGUUCUCCCUAAUUCUGCAUUCUUCCUGCACUUUGCUGUCACUGCAGGGUUUUAAAAGUAUGUGUUUUUACAAUAUUUAUUAAGAAGAUAACCGUACGCAGGAAUUUUGCUUUCUCGAUGUCUUUCAAUAAUUGUUUGUUCCCUUAGAUGGUUGUACUAUAUACACAACUGUACAGAGAAUAUUUUCUCAGAAAAGAACAGCUAUUCAUAAUGUGGCAUUCGGCUCUAAACUCUUUCGGCUUUUAAAAUACUCAGCGUAAGGACAAUAGUGAAACAAUUGUGUUCAAACAUAAAAUAUUCAGAUUUACAGAGCAAACUGUAACCAGCAUGUCUCUUAGCUGUUGCUAUGAAUACAGGGCUCACAUUGUAUAUGAAAAUAUUUCAGUUUUAAUUGCAAAUCUGUGCAGAGAUGAUUUGGGGUCUGUAAUUAGCACAUAAAUUCCAGACUUUGUGACUGCUGUGAAAACACACAUUAUUUAUGGAACGAUUAUCUAAACAUAAUUCAGUGUUUUUUUGCU
This is a long non-coding RNA of Numida meleagris (helmeted guineafowl), 10204 nucleotides long. RefSeq lists it as uncharacterized. The transcript is spliced from 5 exons. The record is from RefSeq and is a predicted model, not a curated record. NCBI's taxonomy places the organism in Eukaryota, Metazoa, Chordata, Aves, Galliformes, Numididae.